Molecule: ribosomal RNA, 402 nt
Filed under: uncultured bacterium
Lineage: Bacteria
Description: bacterial SSU rRNA
Rfam family: Bacterial small subunit ribosomal RNA
Source: RNAcentral
UCGGGAAUUUUGGGCAAUGGGCGAAAGCCUGACCCAGCAACGCCGCGUGAGGGAUGAAGUAUUUCGGUAUGUAAACCUCGAAAGAAUGGGAAGAAUAAAUGACGGUACCAUUUAUAAGCUCCGGCUAACUACGUGCCAGCAGCCGCGGUAAUACGUAGGGAGCAAGCGUUGUUCGGAUUUACUGGGCGUAAAGGGCGCGUAGGCGGCGCGGUAAGUCACUUGUGAAAUCUCUGAGCUUAACUCAGAACGGCCAAGUGAUACUGCUGUGCUAGAGUGCGGAAGAGGCGACCGGAAUUCUUGGUGUAGCGGUGAAAUGCGUAGAUAUCAGGAGGAACACCUGAGGCGAAGGCGGGUUGCUGGGCCGACACUGACGCUGAUGCGCGAAAGCCAGGGGAGCAAACG